GGAAGACCUAAAAAUAGUGGCAAAAAGCCAACCGAGCUUGGUGAUAGCUGGUUACUCAACAAAUGAACCUUAGUUCAACUUUAGGUGCCCAUGGGCCAACUACUUUAACCCACCACCCUUUAACCUAAAGAAAUUCAAUGGGGGUACAGCCCCAUUGAACCGGAACACAACCCGAAUUGAGAGACACCUACUAAACUUUAACCCUAACAGUAGGCCCCAAAGCAGCCACCAACUAAACGCGUUACAGCUACAACAAAACAAUUUUUACAAUAAUAUACACCUCCUAAUAUACCACGAGUUAUUCUAUUUUUUAAUAGAAACACCAAUGCUAAAAUUAGUAAUAAGAAACCCUAAUUUCUCUCCGCACCCCCUUAAAUCAGAAUAGAAAAACUACUGAUAAUUAACACAACACGACCUACAACAACUAGCUAACAUGUCAACUAAAAUCUGUUACCCCAACACAGGAGUGCAAAAAAGAAAGGCAAAAAGCCAUAAAAGGAACUCGGCAAACCCUACCGUCCCAACUGUUUACCAAAAACAUAGCCUUUAGCUCAACAAGUAUUAAAGGUCCCGCCUGCCCAGUGACUCUUUAAACGGCCGCGGUAUCCUAACCGUGCAAAGGUA
This 624-nucleotide ribosomal RNA is filed under the name Anatololacerta sp. CI-2014a. Its description in RNAcentral is "partial 16S ribosomal RNA". Lineage: Eukaryota; Metazoa; Chordata; Lepidosauria; Squamata; Lacertidae. The record is from RNAcentral.